Molecule: small RNA, 721 nt
Filed under: Pan troglodytes (chimpanzee)
Lineage: Eukaryota; Metazoa; Chordata; Mammalia; Primates; Hominidae
Description: retained intron
Source: RNAcentral
GGAUCGCUCCAGCCCAGGAGUUUGUGACCAGCCUGGUCAACAUGAGACCCCUGUCUCUACUUUUAAAAAUUAAAAAAAAAAAAAAAAAAAAAAAGAUAUUUUGGGCAGAGAGAAGUGGCUGUGCAAAGGUGGGUGUUUGCUGAGUUAGUUCAAGGAGCAGAAAGGAGGCUGCCAGGGUAUGAGGGGCAGAGCGCCUGGGGAGUUUGUGUUUGUCUGAGGGGGAUGGGAAAGGGAGUGUUAUUUGGGCUGUGAGAAAAGCUCUUCCUUGCUGUCUGGUGAGAGUAGAGGUGGGAGGCCUCCAGGCCAAGGCAGGUGUGUGGGGCCCCAAGGCAGGUGUGUGGGGCCCCAAGGCCCAGCUGGUGAGAGAACCUCACAGCUCCCAGGCUUUUCUUCCCCACCAGCCUCCCUGCCCUUCGCUAUCCUGACGCUGGUGAACGCCCCGUACAAGCGAGGAUUUUACUGCGGGGAUAACUCCAUCCGGUACCCCUACCGUCCAGAUACCAUCACCCACGGGCUCAUGGCUGGGGUCACCAUCACGGCCACCGUCGUCCUUGUCUCGGCUGGGGAAGCCUACCUGGUGUACACAGACCGGCUCUAUUCUCGCUCGGACUUCAACAACUACGUGGCUGCUGUAUACAAGGUGCUGGGGACCUUCCUGUUUGGGGCUGCCGUGAGCCAGUCUCUGACAGACCUGGCCAAGUACAUGAUUGGGCGUCUGAGG